GCACUUUCAGUCGUGAGGAAGGUAGUAGUAGUUAAUAGCUGCAUUAUUUGACGUUAGCGACAGAAGAAGCACCGGCUAACUCCGUGCCAGCAGCCGCGGUAAUACGGAGGGUGCGAGCGUUAAUCGGAAUUACUGGGCGUAAAGACGCAUGCAGGUGGUUUGGUUUAAGUUCAGAUGUGAAAGACCCGGGGCGUCAACCUCGGAAUAGCAUUUGUAAACUAGGCAGACUAGAGUACUGUAGAGGGGGGUAGGAAGUUUCAGGUGUAGCGGUGAAAUAGCGUAGAGAUCUGAAGGAAUACCGGUGGCGAAGGCGGCCCCCUCGGACAGAUACUGACACUCAGAUGCGAAAGCGUGGGGAGCAAACAGGAUUAGAUACCCCUGGUAG
RNAcentral lists this ribosomal RNA (385 nucleotides) under uncultured bacterium. RNAcentral describes it as "bacterial SSU rRNA". It matches the Rfam family "Bacterial small subunit ribosomal RNA", at positions 430 to 793 of the family's 1533-position model. The record is from RNAcentral.